GACAGAGGGGGCAAGCGUUGCUCGGAAUUACUGGGCGUAAAGGGCGCGUAGGCGGGAUGGCAAGUCGGUCGUGAAAUCCCUCGGCUCAACCGAGGAACGUCGAUCGAUACUGCUGUUCUUGAGGAUUGCAGAGGAGACUGGAAUUCCCGGUGUAGCGGUGAAAUGUGUAGAGAUCGGGAGGAACACCGGUGGCGAAGGCGGGUCUCUGGGCAUUAACUGACGCUGAGGUGCGAAAGCGUGGGGAGCAAACAGG
Molecule: ribosomal RNA, 253 nt
Filed under: uncultured bacterium
Lineage: Bacteria
Description: partial 16S ribosomal RNA
Rfam family: Bacterial small subunit ribosomal RNA
Source: RNAcentral